Molecule: transfer RNA, 86 nt
Filed under: Candidatus Harrisonbacteria bacterium RIFOXYD1_FULL_40_9
Lineage: Bacteria; Candidatus Harrisoniibacteriota
Description: tRNA-Leu
Rfam family: tRNA
About the family: Transfer RNA (tRNA) molecules are approximately 80 nucleotides in length. Their secondary structure includes four short double-helical elements and three loops (D, anti-codon, and T loops).
Source: RNAcentral
GCCCGGGUGUUGGAAUGGUAGACAAGCAACACUUAAAAUGUUGUGGGGUUAUCCUCGUGUGGGUUCGAGUCCCACCCCGGGCACCA